This is a long non-coding RNA of Ornithodoros turicata, 124 nucleotides long. RefSeq lists it as uncharacterized. Lineage: Eukaryota; Metazoa; Arthropoda; Arachnida; Ixodida; Argasidae. The transcript has 3 exons. The record is from RefSeq and is a predicted model, not a curated record.
AGGGGAUGUCAUACUCAGAUACAAUGUCCAGUGCUCAGAUCCCGGUCCUUCAAGUAGUGCUACACCCCUAGUACCUGAUGCUUGUGAAGGCGCAGAGCUGACAUCCUCCACAUGGAUAAGUCAA